GCGUCCGUAGUUUAGUGGAUAGAGCGGCGGGUUCCGGUCCCGCAAGUCGGGGGUUCGAAUCCCUCCGGGCGCACCA
RNAcentral lists this transfer RNA (76 nucleotides) under Campylobacterota bacterium. RNAcentral describes it as "tRNA-Arg". It matches the Rfam family "tRNA". From Rfam's summary of the family: Transfer RNA (tRNA) molecules are approximately 80 nucleotides in length. Their secondary structure includes four short double-helical elements and three loops (D, anti-codon, and T loops). Further hydrogen bonds mediate the characteristic L-shaped molecular structure. tRNAs have two regions of fundamental functional importance: the anti-codon, which is responsible for specific mRNA codon recognition, and the 3' end, to which the tRNAs corresponding amino acid is attached (by aminoacyl-tRNA synthetases). tRNAs cope with the degeneracy of the genetic code in two manners: having more than one tRNA (with a specific anti-codon) for a particular amino acid; and 'wobble' base-pairing, i.e. permitting non-standard base-pairing at the 3rd anti-codon position. Lineage: Bacteria; Pseudomonadati; Campylobacterota. The record is from RNAcentral.